GAUGAACGCUGGCGGCGUGCCUAAUACAUGCAAGUCGAGCGAACGGACGAGAAGCUUGCUUCUCUGAUGUUAGCGGCGGACGGGUGAGUAACACGUGGAUAACCUACCUAUAAGACUGGGAUAACUUCGGGAAACCGGAGCUAAUACCGGAUAAUAUUUUGAACCGCAUGGUUCAAAAGUGAAAGACGGUCUUGCUGUCACUUAUAGAUGGAUCCGCGCUGCAUUAGCUAGUUGGUAAGGUAACGGCUUACCAAGGCAACGAUGCAUAGCCGACCUGAGAGGGUGCUCGGCCACACUGGAACUGAGACACGGUCCAGACUCCUACGGGAGGCAGCAGUAGGGAAUCUUCCGCAAUGGGCGAAAGCCUGACGGAGCAACGCCGCGUGAGUGAUGAAGGUCUUCGGAUCGUAAAACUCUGUUAUUAGGGAAGAACAUAUGUGUAAGUAACUGUGCACAUCUUGACGGUACCAAAUCAGAAAGCCACGGCUAACUACGU
Molecule: ribosomal RNA, 496 nt
Filed under: uncultured bacterium
Lineage: Bacteria
Description: partial 16S ribosomal RNA
Rfam family: Bacterial small subunit ribosomal RNA
Source: RNAcentral